UCUAUAAUGCAGUCGAGCGGACAGAAGGGAGCUUGCUCCCGGAUGUUAGCGGCGGACGGGUGAGUAACACGUGGGUAACCUGCCUGUAAGACUGGGAUAACUCCGGGAAACCGGAGCUAAUACCGGAUAGUUCCUUGAACCGCAUGGUUCAAGGAUGAAAGACGGUUUCGGCUGUCACUUACAGAUGGACCCGCGGCGCAUUAGCUAGUUGGUGAGGUAACGGCUCACCAAGGCGACGAUGCGUAGCCGACCUGAGAGGGUGAUCGGCCACACUGGGACUGAGACACGGCCCAGACUCCUACGGGAGGCAGCAGUAGGGAAUCUUCCGCAAUGGACGAAAGUCUGACGGAGCAACGCCGCGUGAGUGAUGAAGGUUUUCGGAUCGUAAAGCUCUGUUGUUAGGGAAGAACAAGUGCAAGAGUAACUGCUUGCACCUUGACGGUACCUAACCAGAAAGCCACGGCUAACUACGUGCCAGCAGCCGCGGUAAUACGUAGGUGGCAAGCGUUGUCCGGAAUUAUUGGGCGUAAAGGGCUCGCAGGCGGUUUCUUAAGUCUGAUGUGAAAGCCCCCGGCUCAACCGGGGAGGGUCAUUGGAAACUGGGAAACUUGAGUGCAGAAGAGGAGAGUGGAAUUCCACGUGUAGCGGUGAAAUGCGUAGAGAUGUGGAGGAACACCAGUGGCGAAGGCGACUCUCUGGUCUGUAACUGACGCUGAGGAGCGAAAGCGUGGGGAGCGAACAGGAUUAGAUACCCUGGUAGUCCACGCCGUAAACGAUGAGUGCUAAGUG
This 789-nucleotide ribosomal RNA is filed under the name Bacillus altitudinis. RNAcentral describes it as "bacterial SSU rRNA". It matches the Rfam family "Bacterial small subunit ribosomal RNA", at positions 48 to 822 of the family's 1533-position model. The record is from RNAcentral. Lineage: Bacteria; Bacillati; Bacillota; Bacilli; Caryophanales; Bacillaceae.